Poecilia latipinna (sailfin molly) is the source of this 603-nucleotide long non-coding RNA. RefSeq lists it as uncharacterized. The record is from RefSeq and is a predicted model, not a curated record. NCBI's taxonomy places the organism in Eukaryota, Metazoa, Chordata, Actinopteri, Cyprinodontiformes, Poeciliidae. The transcript is spliced from 3 exons.
UCUAAUCACCUGUCAUUAGCUUCCUUAGCUUCUUGGUCACUCCUGUGCCUUCCUCGGUAUCUUUAAGCCCCUCUCUCAUCGUUUUCCACUGGCUCCUUCUGUUGCCGGCACCUGGUUGCUUGUAGGAUCCGGUGCUGUCUUUUGUUUGGAUUGGAGAGCGACAAAGCAGCGGAGCAAAUGAGACAGAAACUCAAACUGUAUUAUAAAGCAAUUCCUCCUGCGAGAAGGGGAGUGUGGAUCAGAGAAGGAGCUUGAAGACUUAACAAACCUGCAUCCUUCUGUGGGAUUUAAGAGAUCUGUGGUGAGCCCAGCUGAUGAAUGACCCCAUGGGGCAAAAACUGAAAUGUCAAAAACUCCAGAUUGGAUACGCUCGGACUUCUGCUCCACUUCUUUCCAGUAGUUUUAGUCUGAUGUCCAACUGCAUCGACUUCACAUUAAACAGGGAACGCAAGUCUCACUUGUCUCUAUUAAAAAACAUCUUAUCUUUUUAUCAGGGCUUAGCUUUGUUACUUGAAUGCAGUUGUCAUAAUACGUUUGGCUCAAAAAAAGUCACUGUACGCUAAUGCUACACAUGUGGUGGAUAGAAAAAGAAGUUAAAAUGCU